This 363-nucleotide ribosomal RNA is filed under the name uncultured bacterium. RNAcentral's name for it is "partial 16S ribosomal RNA". It matches the Rfam family "Bacterial small subunit ribosomal RNA", at positions 338 to 698 of the family's 1533-position model. The record is from RNAcentral.
CCUACGGGCGGCAGCAGUGAGGAAUAUUGGUCAAUGGACGCAAGUCUGAACCAGCCAUGCCGCGUGCAGGAUGACGGCUCUAUGAGUUGUAAACUGCUUUUGUACGAGGGUAAAACCCGAUACGUGUAUCGGGGUGAAAGUAUCGUACGAAUAAGGAUCGGCUAACUCCGUGCCAGCAGCCGCGGUAAGACGGAGGAGCAGAGCGGUAUGCGGAUUUAUUGGGUUUAAAGGGUGCGUAGGCGGUUUGGUAAGUUAGAGGUGAAAUGUCGGGGCUCAACCCCGGAACUGCCUCUAAUACUGUUUGACUAGAGAAUGGUUGCGGUAGGUGGAAUGUAUGGUGUAGCGGUGAAAUGCUUAGAGAUC